UGGGGAAUUUUGGACAAUGGGCGAAAGCCUGAUCCAGCAAUGCCGCGUGUAUGAAGAAGGCCUUCGGGUUGUAAAGCACUUUUGUCCGGAAAGAAAUCCUUGGCUCUAAUACAGUCGGGGGAUGACGGUACCGGAAGAAUAAGCACCGGCUAACUACGUGCCAGCAGCCGCGGUAAUACGUAGGGUGCAAGCGUUAAUCGGAAUUACUGGGCGUAAAGCGUGCGCAGGCGGUUUGCUAAGACCGAUGUGAAAUCCCCGGGCUCAACUGGGAACUGCAUUGGUGACUGGCAGGCUAGAGUAUGGCAGAGGGGGUAGAAUUCCACGUGUAGCAGUGAAAUGCGUAGAGAUGUGGAGGAAUACCGAUGGCGAAGGCAGCCCCAUGGGCCAAUACUGACGCUCAUGCACGAAAGCGUGGGGAGCAAACAGGAUUAGAUACCCUGGUAGUCCACGCCCUAAA
RNAcentral lists this ribosomal RNA (457 nucleotides) under uncultured bacterium. Its description in RNAcentral is "partial 16S ribosomal RNA". It matches the Rfam family "Bacterial small subunit ribosomal RNA", at positions 355 to 806 of the family's 1533-position model. The record is from RNAcentral.